Molecule: ribosomal RNA, 466 nt
Filed under: uncultured bacterium
Lineage: Bacteria
Description: bacterial SSU rRNA
Rfam family: Bacterial small subunit ribosomal RNA
Source: RNAcentral
UAGGGAAUAUUGGGCAAUGGAGGGAACUCUGACCCAGCCAUGCCGCGUGCAGGAUGAAGGCGUUAUGCGUUGUAAACUGCUUUUAUAUAGGAAGAAAUAGUCCUUGCGAGGAAAGUUGACGGUACUAUAUGAAUAAGUACCGGCUAACUCCGUGCCAGCAGCCGCGGUAAUACGGAGGGUGCAAGCGUUGUCCGGAUUUAUUGGGUUUAAAGGGUGCGUAGGCGGUUUAUUAAGUCAGUGGUGAAAGACGGUCGCUCAACGAUUGCAGUGCCAUUGAUACUGGUAGACUUGAGUAUGAUUGAGGUAGCUGGAAUGGAUAGUGUAGCGGUGAAAUGCAUAGAUAUUAUCCAGAACACCAAUUGCGUAGGCAAGUUACUAAGUCAUAACUGACGCUGAGGCACGAAAGUGUGGGUAUCAAACAGGAUUAGAUACCCCCGUAGUCCCUGAGCGGGCUGGCAAGGCGCAU